Molecule: transfer RNA, 72 nt
Filed under: Carapus bermudensis
Lineage: Eukaryota; Metazoa; Chordata; Actinopteri; Ophidiiformes; Carapidae
Description: tRNA-Thr
Rfam family: tRNA
About the family: Transfer RNA (tRNA) molecules are approximately 80 nucleotides in length. Their secondary structure includes four short double-helical elements and three loops (D, anti-codon, and T loops).
Source: RNAcentral
GCAUCGGUAGCUCAGUCAGAGAGCGCCGGUCUUGUAAACCGGAGGCCGAGGGUUCGAGUCCCCCCCGACGCA